CCUACGGGAGGCAGCAGUCGAGAAUCAUUCACAAUGGGGGAAACCCUGAUGGUGCGACGCCGCGUGGGGGAAUGAAGGUCUUCGGAUUGUAAACCCCUGUCAUGUGGGAGCAAAUUAAAAAGAUAGUACCACAAGAGGAAUAGACGGCUAACUCUGUGCCAGCAGCCGCGGUAAUACAGAGGUCUCAAGCGUUGUUCGGAAUCACUGGGCGUAAAGGGUGCGUAGGCUGUUUCGUAAGUCGUGUGUGAAAGGCGCGGGCUCAACCCGCGGAAGGCACAUGAUACUGGGAGACUAGAGUAAUGGAGGGGGAACCGGAAUUCUCGGUGUAGCAGUGAAAUGCGUAGAUAUCGAGAGGAACACUCGUGGCGAAGGCGGGUUCCUGGACAUUAACUGACGCUGAGGCACGAAGGCCAGGGGAGCGAAAGGGAUUAGAUACCCCGGUAGUC
This 446-nucleotide ribosomal RNA is filed under the name uncultured bacterium. RNAcentral's name for it is "partial 16S ribosomal RNA". It matches the Rfam family "Bacterial small subunit ribosomal RNA", at positions 338 to 795 of the family's 1533-position model. The record is from RNAcentral.